This is a long non-coding RNA of Numida meleagris (helmeted guineafowl), 1543 nucleotides long. RefSeq lists it as uncharacterized. The record is from RefSeq and is a predicted model, not a curated record. The transcript is spliced from 5 exons. Lineage: Eukaryota; Metazoa; Chordata; Aves; Galliformes; Numididae.
GUAAAUGCUGAAUGCAGAGAACUAACUUUCAAAUACAGAACACAUUUCUAAAUCACACUUCUGCAAAAGCAGGUUUUAUGGUACGCCUCACAGUAUCCUUUUCUUUAGUACCAGGUCUUCUCUCAAAUCUGUUGGGAAAUGAACCUUAAAGAGAAUAGAAAUACAUACUCACUGCAAUCAGGAUUGCAUUCCCUGCUCACAGGGUUCUCCUCUUUUUAGGUGAAUCUACAGCAGCACCACUACAGCUACCAGUAAAUACCUUCUUUGGUUUGUUCUAGUUGAGCAACAUAGCACACACUAUAUCCUCCAAUCCAGCUUUAUAAUCUCAUCUUUUAUAAAAACAGAAUAGCGUUGCUUUGAUAUCUGGUAGGAGUAACCCACUCCAGAAAGACAGGUGUUUUGCAUUAAAUGCUUACAAAAGAGAUUGAUCAAUUUAAUACAGCUGUGUUUAUUUGAAGAGACGCCCUGAAAUCCUAAGGCUUAUGCCGAACUUCAUGAAGCAUUCCCUGGCUUGAGCUGAAUAACCAGCCACUGUAAAUUGAUACUAUCUUAUCUGUAUCAGAGGAUUCUGUCUGGAGAUGUUAUGUAAAAGAAAAUGAAGAUUUGUUAUAUGAGGCACAUUAUGGGAAGCAUUCAGCCAUGCUGUGAGACUCCUCCUUCCAUUUCCAAUGCACGUUUUGGCCAUGAUACUGUAUUUACUUGGCAUAUAACCAGUUCACUGGAAUUAGAUUACAUUUACUGUGGUAUUUGGGAAGGAUGCCAGUUUGUGGGGAUACUCAAAGAAUCCACAUAAAUCAACUGGAAGACGCCACUUUAGCUCUGCUACAAAUUAGAAUCAACAACGUCAACCACAGCUUUGGGAUAUGUGAAACAUACAGAUCAGAACAGCUUUUCAUCACAACAACGAGUAAACUUAGAGCCAAAGAUGCUUCAAUAAAGCAGUAGCAAAUACAGAAUUAGCUGUUUUCAUGCACUGAUGACCCUGCAGUAUGCACUGGAAGGAAUGCGAUCAUUUAUCUAGAAGGUACUUCCUCUGCAGUUGUUUUCCAGUCACUGAACUUCUGGGCGUGGAUUUACCCUAUUGAUGUGUUUUUAUACCAGAUGCCACAUUACAUUUAUAAAUGAUGAACAGCUGUAUCCUUAGCAGGGCUGGGUGCUGCUUCACAGCCCUUCCCAUCCUGAUCUGUGAUCCUUGCUGUUCUUGCUGGUUUGUGUGGGUUAAGAAAGACCUCUCCCCUGAAAAAGAUCAUGAAUAAAGGUCACACUUUAGAUAAGCAAGUAAACAAACCUGUACCCAGUGGAGGACAAUAAUAUUUCCUUCUUUAGCUUUUAUUUUAUGUAUUUGCUUUUUCAUUAGCAGUUUUACUCUAUCGUCAUUUUAUAAGCAGACUGUAGGAAUGAAUGGAGAUUUAGGGUGUCUUGGAGUCAUUCUGCCUGGCUAUGCAAGGAAUGUCCACUAUCAGCCCAGUGGUGGAAAAUAAUAGGAAACCUUGUACCAAACCUCAUUAAUGUGUAAUAAAAUGGACUAGCUUGUUAUCUUGGA